UCUAUUACCAUUCCCAUUAGCUUUGUAUUUCAUGUGGCUAAUGAAGAAUGUAAAUACAUAUCUCUAGUAUUAUGGCAUGUGAAUUUAGUUUCCUGAAGAUUUGGGUUGUCUAUGGUGGAUUGAGGUUUAUAUUUCCCUAACUUGGGUUUAGUGUUUAAUGUCAAGUGUUCUAUUACCAGCUCCAUUAGCUUUGUAUUUCAUGUUGCUCAUGAGAAAUAUAAAUACAUGUCUCCAGUAUUAUGGCAUGUGGAUUUAUUUUCACAAAGAUUUGGGUUGCUUAUGUAUUGGGGUUUAUAUUUCUCUAACUUGGGUUUAAUGUUUACUAUCAAGUGUUUUUUUACCAUUCCCAUUACCUUUGUAUUUCAUGUGGCUCAUGAGGAAUAUAAAUACAUGUCUCGAGUAUUAUGGCAGGUGGAUUAAAUUUCCUGAAAAUUUG
RNAcentral lists this long non-coding RNA (436 nucleotides) under Brassica napus (rape). RNAcentral's name for it is "long non-coding RNA (BNAP_LNC013581)". The record is from RNAcentral. Lineage: Eukaryota; Viridiplantae; Streptophyta; Magnoliopsida; Brassicales; Brassicaceae.